AUAAUACUCCCUCCGUUCGAAAAUACUUGUCGGAGAAAUGAAUAAAAAUGGGUGUAUCUAGAACUAAAAUAUAUCUAGUUACACUCAAUUCUCCGACAAGUAUUUUCGGACAGAGGGAGUAGUAU
Molecule: non-coding RNA, 125 nt
Organism: Triticum aestivum (bread wheat)
Lineage: Eukaryota; Viridiplantae; Streptophyta; Magnoliopsida; Poales; Poaceae
Source: Rfam